Molecule: long non-coding RNA, 853 nt
Organism: Vidua chalybeata
Lineage: Eukaryota; Metazoa; Chordata; Aves; Passeriformes; Viduidae
Exons: 2
Source: RefSeq, a predicted model, not a curated record
CCACUGGACCAGGUUACUCAAAGCUCCAUCCACCCUGGCUCUGAACACUUCCAGUGAUGGGGCAUGGUCACUCACUUUUGUGAGCUGCAGCAUUAGUGAUGGAACCAGAUCUCUGCCCAAGGGUUACAUGCUUUAAAAUCCUUCAUUAGAGAAAUACCCUGAAGCUUAAAAUGCUACAAGAAAAGUAACAGAGUUCCUUUACAUAGAAAUUGCCCAAUGAGAUUGACCCUUCCCCAGCAGUCUGGCAUUGGUGUUUGGUUGGAAGGUUUCCAAUUAGCAAAGGCAGCUCAGAAAGACCAGCAUCCUGGAGGCCACAGCAGCAGGACAAAGAGCAGCCAAGGUCACCAAGCACCUUCCUUUCAGCUCUUGCAGGAAUGUGAUUGUGUAAAUACAUGCGCACGAUUUUAGUAAAGCCAGAAAACCUCCCAAAUCCUUUGCAGUCUGUGGCCACUGCACCCUGAGCAAAAUUCCCUCCCAGCUCCGAGCCUGGGAACCCAUUCAACUCUGUGCUUAUGUGCCUCAUUGCACACAUCACCUGCGAUACUGGUAUUACCAGUCUCUUUCCUACCACUUCUUUUCCCUAAUAAUGAAUACUUGAGUCAGUAAAAUCCAUCUGUAGUUAGCAUAGGCAUUUACAGGAGCAUGGAUUUAUCCUUGCAAAAGUGGUGUACUUAAAGUGAGCAGCUCAGUCAUUCCUGAUAGGGUCUUGUAAAUAAAUUAUUGAUUCCUGGGUGUUUAGGGGAUGUUGAUUAGAAUUAGAGUUUACAGCAACAGCUCAUCUUACUUCAUCAGAAGAAAUUGUAAAAAAAAAUAUCAAGGAAAUCAGCUGCUUAAUAAAAAGUAAUCUUUCUUA